Macrobrachium nipponense is the source of this 700-nucleotide long non-coding RNA. RefSeq lists it as uncharacterized. The transcript has 3 exons. The record is from RefSeq and is a predicted model, not a curated record. NCBI's taxonomy places the organism in Eukaryota, Metazoa, Arthropoda, Malacostraca, Decapoda, Palaemonidae.
UCACACAACUCCAGGUUGUUACUACAAGUGUCAUCAAGGGAUAACUACUACAAGUAGAAGCACCAUUUUUGGAUGGAAAAAACCCUUCAGGAAAGUAUACGUAUCACAUGUAACAUGUAGUGUAACAAAGUAUGAACAGUAAGGUUUUUACAUACAGUAGUACAUAUUACAUACGUACAUAACUUUUUUUUACAGGAAUUUCCAACCAAGUUUGAUUAUGUACAUAUGUACAUGUUAUAAACCACUGUACGUAUGGUUACUGUAUGUAACUUACUAAACAUACAUAACAUGACUUAACUUUGAUACUUUUUUGGUACAUUCCAGAAAACCAGGACCCCCUCCAUGAUGCAGGCUAUGGGGCCACAUAAAACUUUGUCCAGGGUUACUACAUAACAUAGAACGACAACUGUAAACUAUGUACUACUGUACUAAAGAACCCCCUGAAUGAUGUAGGCUAUGGGGCCACAUAAGACUUUGUCCAUCCAGGGUUACAUUGAAAGACAACUUUAAACUAAAGAGCUACCAGACUGGGAUUUUAGUGUAUCAAGGAUCUAACAAAGUGUGCAAUGCAUGUGUAUACGUAUACAGUGACAGUGUUUAGUGUAUACCCUAAGGAUUAAGUGUAGUGUACAUUGUGCUUUUUAGUGUCACAAGAGUUUAAUAAAGAAUUAUACCUUCAAGAACCAUCCUUUGCCAUUGG